This 250-nucleotide ribosomal RNA is filed under the name uncultured bacterium. RNAcentral describes it as "partial 16S ribosomal RNA". It matches the Rfam family "Bacterial small subunit ribosomal RNA", at positions 524 to 773 of the family's 1533-position model. The record is from RNAcentral.
UACGGAGGGUGCAAGCGUUAUCCGGAUUUAUUGGGUUUAAAGGGUCCGCAGGCGGAUCGUUAAGUCAGUGGUGAAAGCCCACAGCUCAACUGUGGAAUUGCCAUUGAUACUGGCGGUCUUGAGUAUGUAUGAAGUUGGCGGAAUGUGUGGUGUAGCGGUGAAAUGCUUAGAUAUCACACAGAACACCGAUUGCGAAGGCAGCUGGCUAAUACAUAACUGACGCUGAGGGACGAAAGUGUGGGGAUCAAAC